GUUUUAUAAAUCACAGGGUUCCUGACCCAAGGAAGAACUCAAUUUCUUUGAUGACUCCACAGUAUUUUUAGCCAUUGAGUUGGUUAGUUCCUUGUCUGAAUAAUAUUCCUCCUUUGUUUACUCAACUUCUGAUUCUUCCUUCCUUCCUGCUGUGAAAUGGACGGUAACCAGAUCAACUCUGAAUCCGGGAGAGGAAGCAAUCAGGUUCCUCUGUAAAAUUAAGAAAUGCAUAUGAAAACAUGACUGCUUAUUCAACAUCUUCUCUUCAAUUGCUCUGCAGGGCCCUCUGAUGUGGGAACAAUUUAUUCUGAAGCUAUUGGGCCCCACCAUAGACAAUCAGCACUUUUUUUUUUAAACUCU
Molecule: long non-coding RNA, 360 nt
Filed under: Suricata suricatta (meerkat)
Lineage: Eukaryota; Metazoa; Chordata; Mammalia; Carnivora; Herpestidae
Description: lncRNA (ENSSSUG00005021396.1)
Source: RNAcentral